RNAcentral lists this ribosomal RNA (492 nucleotides) under uncultured bacterium. Its description in RNAcentral is "partial 16S ribosomal RNA". It matches the Rfam family "Bacterial small subunit ribosomal RNA", at positions 29 to 507 of the family's 1533-position model. The record is from RNAcentral.
AGUGAACGCUGGCGGUAGGCCUAACACAUGCAAGUCGAACGGCAGCACAGUAAGAGCUUGCUCUUACGGGUGGCGAGUGGCGGACGGGUGAGGAAUACAUCGGAAUCUACUUUUUCGUGGGGGAUAACGUAGGGAAACUUACGCUAAUACCGCAUACGACCUACGGGUGAAAGCAGGGGAUCUUCGGACCUUGCGCGAUUGAAUGAGCCGAUGUCGGAGUAGCUAGGUGGCGGGGUAAAGGCCCACCAAGGCGACGAUCCGUAGCUGGUCUGAGAGGAUGAUCAGCCACAUUGGACCUGAGACACGGCCCAGACUCCGAGGGGAGGCAGCAGUGGGGAAUAUUGGACAAUGGGCGCAAGCCUGAUACAGCCAUACCGCGUGGGUGAAGAAGGCCUUCUGGUUGGAAAGCCCUUUUGUUGGGAAAGAAAAGCAGCAGGUUAAUACCCCGCUGUUCUGACGGUACCCAAAGAAUAAGCACCGGCUAACUUCGUG